Gallus gallus (chicken) is the source of this 1451-nucleotide long non-coding RNA. NCBI's taxonomy places the organism in Eukaryota, Metazoa, Chordata, Aves, Galliformes, Phasianidae. The record is from Ensembl.
UGGAAAUGCCUGCUUACCUGAGGCCUUCUGAAGGAAUGGUUUUCCAGAGGUGCUGUAGACAGAUCAGGCCUGGCUUUGCAUCUUCCACCUACUUGGUCCAGCACUAAUUUCAGUUCGCCUGUGUACCAUGCUCCUUCCCACAGCACAAAUAUUCUACUGAAGGAAGGUGGGAUGUGUUGGAAUCACCUUUACCACCUCCAAACAUUAAGCUAGAAAAGCUUAAUGACCUUCUGCUGUUACCCAUACUUGGGUGAUUGACCCACUUCAGGCAUAGUGCUUUCAAGAAGAUCUUCCUGAGUUAACAUAUACACGCUUCCCAAACUGCAAUUUUUACAUAUGCGUUGCUAGUAAAUGAAACUGAUUUCACAGAAAGAAGUUCAGUCUGAGUGAUAGACAUUUCCUUUGCCAUGGGUAAAAUCUGAGUGAAAUUGAGCUAUCCAUGUCAUGUGCAUGCUGAAAUGUUGCUGUGUUUCCAGUAACUGCAUAUAAGUCAAAGAGGGAAAAAGCUUCCUGGAAGGAAAUUCUGUAGCACUUUUUACACUAUGGGGUCAAUAUUCACAAUACUUCCUCCCAUGGCAUUGCAGGAAUGUGAGCUCAGAAGGGCUGAGGGAAAUAUAGACUGUUCCAGAGACUGUCACAGCCACAGGGAAUCUUUCUAUUGACUUCAGAAGAGCUCUGAUUUGAGCCCGCAUUAUAAAUACAAACUAUCUGACCUGAUUGAAAAAGCAGGAAGAAUGGGAACAUAGUGAACUGAGACACAGGGAUGUGGGAUUUUGAUGCUUUGGCAGAUGGUGGAAGGGCAUUCCAUGUCUGCAAAUCCUCAUGUCAGGACUCUGUGUUGCAAACACAGCGAUAUCCUGCUUUGAACAAGGGAUGUGAGCUUUAUAUCUGGCUACAUGCACAGCUCCAGUUAGCAUAAUGAGAACUUAGCAUGUAUUGAAUCAUAGACAGAAUAGACUUCACCGGAAAAAAAAUUUGUCCCCAUGGAAAAGUAACUUAACAAUUAGACUAAAGAAGGAGAUUGUCCUAGAAUUGAUAUAAUUGAUCUUUAUUUAUUAUAUUGUUAAAUAAAAAUAGCUAUGUUUUUCAUCUUCUCUGUACAGAUACGAGACUGAAAAACGUAAGCGUCUCGAAUCUGUAUGUCUGAAUUCAAAUGAAAUUUUACUUGAGUAAAGCAACGUAGAAGUGAGUUGAAUGCUUUAGUUACUUUGAUGUAUAAGGUUAUUAUAGAAUACAUCUCAUCUGAAAUAAUUAGAAAUAAUAAUAUUAGAUUUGCUAUCUAGCUAUAGUACAAUACAUCUUCCUAUGGUUUUUGAUUUGCAUGUAAUAUUUAUAAUGUCAUUUAUUAGAUUGUUUCUGUAUAAAUCUACCCAGGCAAUGUGUUACUACUUAAACUUUGAAUGUGUGUCUUGGAGGAUAUAGAAAUAACAAAAUAAAGCAUGCUUGAACAU